Oncorhynchus tshawytscha (Chinook salmon) is the source of this 645-nucleotide long non-coding RNA. NCBI's taxonomy places the organism in Eukaryota, Metazoa, Chordata, Actinopteri, Salmoniformes, Salmonidae. The record is from Ensembl.
AGGGUAUGGGGUUAUAGAGGGUAUGGGGUUAUAGAGGGUAUGGGUUAUAGAGGGUAUGGGUUAUAGAGGGUAUGGGGUUAUAGAGGGUAUGGGGUUAUAGAGGGUAUGGGGUUAUAGAGGGUAUGGGUUAUAGAGGGUAUGGGGUUAUAGAGGGUAUGGGUUAUAGAGGGUAUGGGGUUAUAGAGGGUAUGGGUUAUAGGGGUAUGGGUUAUAGAGGGUAUGGGGUAUAGAGGGUAUGGGGUUAUAGAGGGUAUGGGGUUAUAGAGGGUAUGGGUUAUAGAGGGUAUGGGGUUAUAGAGGGUAUGGGGUUAUAGAGGGUAUGGGUUAUAGAGGGUAUGGGGUUAUAGAGGGUAUGGGGUUAUAGAGGGUAUGGGUUAUAGGGGGUAUGGUUAUAGAGGGUAUGGGGUUAUAGAGGGUAUGGGGUUAUAGAGGGUAUGGGUUAUAGAGGGUAUGGGUUAUAGAGGGUAUGGGUUAUAGAGGGUAUGGGGUUAUAGAGGGUAUGGGUUAUAGAGGGUAUGUGUUAUAGAGGGUAUGGGGUUAUAGAGGGUAUGGGGUUAUAGAGGGUAUGGGUUAUAGAGGGUAUGGGGAAAUAGAGGGUAUGGGUUAUAGAGGGUAUGGGGUUAUAGAGGGUAUGGGGUUAUAGAG